AUGAUGGACCAGUCUAAACAGUGGGACUACUACCCUCCAGGACCGGGACCAGGACCAGGACCCAGACGGGAGGACAAGAGGGAGAAGGAGAGAGAGAGACCCAGGGAGAGACCACAUGAGAGGGAGAGAGAGCGAGAGCACAGCCCCUCCACUAUGGCUUACAACAGUGACGAGGAGCGGUACCGUGGUUACCGGGAGUACCAAGCGGAGCGUGGCUACAGCGGCGGUGACCGUGGAGGGGGGGAGCGUGGCGGUGACCGUGGGAGUGGUGGUGAGCGUGGUGGUGGAGGCGGCGAGCGCCACAGAGACAGGUCGAGCCGUGAGAAGGAGGAGAGACACAGAGAGAGAAGACACAGAGAGAAGGAGGAGGGGAGACACAAGUCAUCACGCAGUAGCAGCAGGAGGAGACAUGAUAGUGAAGAAGGAGACGGUCACAGGAGACACAAACACAAGAAGAGCAAGAGGAGCAAUGGGAGGGCAAGGAACCCAGUGAUGACAUGGGAGGAGACCAGGAGAACCAGGACCACCAUGGAGUGAUGAAGAGAACACCCUCCUCUCCCUCUGUCCCUCUUCAUCUCUCUCUCUCUGUCUACAUGGGAGGAGACCAGGAGAACCAGGACACCAUGGAGUGAUGAAGAGAACACCCUCCUCUCCCUCUGUCCCCCU
This is a long non-coding RNA of Oncorhynchus tshawytscha (Chinook salmon), 666 nucleotides long. The record is from Ensembl. NCBI's taxonomy places the organism in Eukaryota, Metazoa, Chordata, Actinopteri, Salmoniformes, Salmonidae.